Eurypyga helias (sunbittern) is the source of this 107-nucleotide non-coding RNA. NCBI's taxonomy places the organism in Eukaryota, Metazoa, Chordata, Aves, Eurypygiformes, Eurypygidae. The record is from Rfam.
GUCAGGAUGGCCGAGUGGUCUAAGGCGCCAGACUCAAGGCUCUGCUUUCCCGCACUGGGCAUUCUGGUCUCCGCGUGGAGGCGUGGGUUCAAAUCCCACUCCUGACA